RNAcentral lists this long non-coding RNA (454 nucleotides) under Parus major (Great Tit). Its description in RNAcentral is "lncRNA (ENSPMJG00000020002.1)". Lineage: Eukaryota; Metazoa; Chordata; Aves; Passeriformes; Paridae. The record is from RNAcentral.
CAUGUCACCUUGGCAGAUAAUGACUUGGAAAUUUGUGCUAAUAAUUGUUUUGACUGUUCCCCUGGAAUGAGUGGGUUUGGUUUGGUUGUUUUUUUUUUUUUUUUUUUUUUCCUGUUGGUUUUUUGUUGUUUUUCUUUUUUCCCCCCUCAGCAGAAUGUCUUGCACUUAAAGUGAUUUUAUUAGGGAAUUGUUUUUUUACACAGAAAAUACAGUUGUGCCAGCUGGAGGUUGGGAGUUGGGAUUGUCAUCCCUGCAGCCACUUGGGAUGGUUCUCCAGGGAAGAUUCCACACAGAUUCCAACUCCUUGUAACCAAAUCCUGCUGCCCCAGACACCAUCACCUUCCUCAGGACAACAACUGAUGCCUUCACUGCUGAGGGAAAUGUGCAAGCCCUUAUUGCUCCUCAGGAGGUCACUGGGAAUGAUGUUAUCACUCCAUGGGGUCCCAGCACUGGC